Long non-coding RNA from Sphaerodactylus townsendi, 803 nucleotides. RefSeq lists it as uncharacterized. Lineage: Eukaryota; Metazoa; Chordata; Lepidosauria; Squamata; Sphaerodactylidae. The transcript is spliced from 3 exons. The record is from RefSeq and is a predicted model, not a curated record.
UGCAAUCAGCAUGCUGAUUAAGGUUGCUGAGGGGUUUUUGCCUCCCCCCUUAAACAUUAACUGAAUGAAAACGGGUUGUAGUCUUUGUUGUUCUGCUUGGGGGGCUUUCGGGAAGCAAAUGGACUUUCAGAACAGAGAUUGUCAAUAAAAGGGGUUAGCAGGAAACCCCCCUGCUGUGGACAAUUAGGAUCUUAGCCAUUUUUGUGAGAAGUGAAGAAAACCCAGUUUAUUCUUACCAUACUGAACAGGAAAAGGGUGGGACAUAGCUAAGUGGCAGACCAUCUGCUUUGCAUGCACCUGGGAUCACCAUUAAAAGGAUCACAUCAGAUCAUGUGAUAGACCUCUGCCUGAGACCCUGAAGAGCCUCUGCCAGGCAUAAUAAAUAAUACUGAUUGUCUGACCUGACUCAGCAUAAGGCAGCUUCAAAGAACUCAAAAUUCCCUUUUCAGAUACAGGUACCCCUAUCCAGUUCUAAUCAUGACCCACUGCACCAGAAUGCGGACUCAAAGCUAUACUGGAAAGAACAUCCAACAAGAUUAAAGUAGUAUAGAUGACUGUAUUCUGGGAUAUAGUAAGUGAGAAGCAUAUUUUAAUCAGGUUCUGUAACUAGAUCAAUUUCUCUGGAUAGGGACAAGCAUUUAUUGCUCAAUUCCAUUCUCUCUCUUCUUCUGGGACUUGAUACUAUAAGCAAACAUGACAUUUUGUGUUUGUAUGCCAAAAAUCUUCCUGAUUUUGAAUUUUGCCUAACCCAUUUGAGGAAUAUACACUUUCUCACCACCAUCAACCCACUGAUUAAACUGAAA